RNAcentral lists this ribosomal RNA (467 nucleotides) under uncultured bacterium. RNAcentral describes it as "partial 16S ribosomal RNA". It matches the Rfam family "Bacterial small subunit ribosomal RNA", at positions 28 to 523 of the family's 1533-position model. The record is from RNAcentral.
GACGAACGCUGGCGGCGCGCCUAAUACAUGCAAGUCGAACGGGCACACAAUUGUGUGUCAGUGGCGGACGGGUGAGUAACACGUGAGUGACCUGCCCCCUAGUAUGGAAUAACUCUGGGAAACCAGAGCUAAUACCACAUGUGCUUAGUGUUUCACUCUGCUAAGUAAAGAUUUAUUCGCUAGGGGAGGGGCUUGCGGCGGAUUAGCUAGUCGGUGGGGUAACGGCCUACCGAGGCGACGAUCCGUAGCUGGUCUGAGAGGAUGAUCAGCCACACUGGGACUGAGAUACGGCCCAGACUCCUACGGGAGGCAGCAGUGGGGAAUAUUGGACAAUGGGGGCAACCCUGAUCCAGCAAUGCCGCGUGAGUGAUGAAGGCCUUCGGGUUGUAAAGCUCUUUUGCCAGGGACGAUGAUGACGGUACCUGGAGAAUAAGCACCGGCUAACUUCGUGCCAGCAGCCGCCGUAA